This is a long non-coding RNA of Gadus morhua (Atlantic cod), 318 nucleotides long. RefSeq lists it as uncharacterized. The transcript has 2 exons. The record is from RefSeq and is a predicted model, not a curated record. NCBI's taxonomy places the organism in Eukaryota, Metazoa, Chordata, Actinopteri, Gadiformes, Gadidae.
GGAGACCGCCGCUAUGACAACCGGAGGUCAGAGGAGGCCGCCGCCAUGACAACCGGAGGUCAGAGGAGACCGCCGCUAUGACAACCGGAGGUCAGAGGAGACCGCCGCCAUGACAACCGGAGGAACUCAGAGGAGACUGCAUGAGCUCCGGCAGGCGGGGCAGCUGGUAGAAGAAGAAGGAGCUGCACUUGAGGAGCUGGCUGGGGUGACGCAGGGCGUAGUCUGACCGGGAGAACCAGGAGGAGAACCAGGAGAACAGGAGACCAGGAGGAGAACCAGGAGACCAGGAGGAGACCAGGAGACCAGGAGGAGAACCAG